This 382-nucleotide long non-coding RNA is filed under the name Homo sapiens (human). RNAcentral's name for it is "HSALNT0050276". The record is from RNAcentral. Lineage: Eukaryota; Metazoa; Chordata; Mammalia; Primates; Hominidae.
CUACUGGCCUUCAACACCACGGAGAGAGAGCUGAGAAGUGAGCUGUCUUCCAACUCACCUGCAUAGGUGGAAGUCUUCCCAGAUGCUGUGCUUGAAUCUCUAAUUUGAUAUAUUUACAAGACUUGCAGAGGCUGUGAGCUGUGUGAAUACAUUGCACAUAAGAACUACAGAUGUUUUAAAGCCUUCUGUGAAAGUGAUUCUGAAGGUGUGGUCCCUGGGCCAGCAGCAUCAACAUCACCUGGAACUUGUGAGAAAUGAAGAUUCUCAGGCUCUUCUCUAUACCUACUGAAUCAGACAUUGGGUGCAAAGGGGAACACUACAGUCUGUCUUUAAGGAGCCCUCAAGGGGUUUGGAGUGCAGGAGCUUACAGUAGAAAUCACCA